This 933-nucleotide ribosomal RNA is filed under the name uncultured bacterium. Its description in RNAcentral is "bacterial SSU rRNA". It matches the Rfam family "Bacterial small subunit ribosomal RNA", at positions 1 to 928 of the family's 1533-position model. The record is from RNAcentral.
CCAGAGUUUGAUCCUGGCUCAGAUUGAACGCUGGCGGCAGGCCUAACACAUGCAAGUCGAACGGUAACAGGAAACAGCUUGCUGUUUCGCUGACGAGUGGCGGACGGGUGAGUAAUGUCUGGGAAACUGCCUGAUGGAGGGGGAUAACUACUGGAAACGGUGGCUAAUACCGCAUAACGUCGCAAGACCAAAGAGGGGGACCCUCGGGCCUCUUGCCAUCGGAUGUGCCCAGAUGGGAUUAGCUUGUUGGUGGGGUAACGGCUCACCAAGGCGACGAUCCCUAGCUGGUCUGAGAGGAUGACCAGCCACACUGGAACUGAGACACGGUCCAGACUCCUACGGGAGGCAGCAGUGGGGAAUAUUGCACAAUGGGCGCAAGCCUGAUGCAGCCAUGCCGCGUGUAUGAAGAAGGCCUUCGGGUUGUAAAGUACUUUCAGCGGGGAGGAAGGGAGUAAAGUUAAUACCUUUGCUCAUUGACGUUACCCGCAGAAGAAGCACCGGCUAACUCCGUGCCAGCAGCCGCGGUAAUACGGAGGGUGCAAGCGUUAAUCGGAAUUACUGGGCGUAAAGCGCACGCAGGCGGUUUGUUAAGUCAGAUGUGAAAUCCCCGGGCUCAACCUGGGAACUGCAUCUGAUACUGGCAAGCUUGAGUCUCGUAGAGGGGGGUAGAAUUCCAGGUGUAGCGGUGAAAUGCGUAGAGAUCUGGAGGAAUACCGGUGGCGAAGGCGGCCCCCUGGACGAAGACUGACGCUCAGGUGCGAAAGCGUGGGGAGCAAACAGGAUUAGAUACCCUGGUAGUCCACGCCGUAAACGAUGUCGACUUGGAGGUUGUGCCCUUGAGGCGUGGCUUCCGGAGCUAACGCGUUAAGUCGACCGCCUGGGGAGUACGGCCGCAAGGUUAAAACUCAAAUGAAUUGACGGAAGGGCGAAUUC